AUGCUUGCCUCUUCCAUUCAUUCAUUCAUUCAUUCAUUCAUUCAUUCAGUGUGAUUAGGGCUUCCCUUAUGUGUUCAUCACUUAGGCCUGGAGAAACAAAUAAUCAAUGUUCGGACUUGCAGGCUGUUAGGGACUUCCAUGCUGAGUGUGUGUCUGUUGAAUACAAUUUUUCAGAAAGGGCUGUUUCCUUUCCUAGCAGGCGGCUAAUAAGGUUUUGCCUUUCCAGAAGCCAAGGUAUACCCAUGCUGGGCCAUCCUCCCUCAAUUAAAUGCAGUUGUGCAAACCAGGAAGGAGAGAGGAGCAUGCGGCUGACUGCACGCGGUUAACACACUGCGGCGCCCCCAGAAACAGUCCUCCUGCAGCAGGUGCCUCAGAAAUGAGCUUCUCUCUCCAGCUAGACUUCAGGGGUUGAUUCCAAAGUGGGAAGGUCCUCGUGUCCCCCGACGACCAGCACUGCUUCACUCCAGGUGACUAAGAAAGAAGGGGGCCGGGCGCGGUGGCUCAUGCCUGUAAUCCCAGCACUUUGGGAGGCCGAGGCAGGGAGAUCACGAGGUCAGGAGUUCAGACCACCCUGACCAACAUGGUGAAACCCCAUCUCUACUAAAAAUACAGUAAUUAGCUAGGCGCGGUGGUGCGUGCCUGUAGUCCCAGCUACUCGGGAGGCUGAGGCAGGAGAAUCACUUGAACCCAGGAGGUGGAGGUUGCGGUGAGCAGAGAUCACACCACUAUACUCCAGCCUGGGUGACAGAGCGAGACUCUGUCUCAAAAAAAAAAAAAAAAAAAAAAGAAAAGAAAAGAAAAAAGGAAAUUAUAGACUCUACUGGGGAUAACAUUAAAGAACAUGCAUUCAAUGGGAGAACUGAUGGCAAUGAAAUGAGCCAAUGCCACCUGCAUGCCGCAGAGUAGGGGAGCCCCCAGAACCCAACCAUGCAUCUGUCUCCGUCCACACACAUGGGACCCUGUGGACCGGGGUGCACAGCACAGGCAACAUACGUGAGGAAGGGUAGAGAGAUGCUUCCCAUUGAGCCAAGGACCAUGCCUUCCUCCUGCGGGACAGUUUGUGAUCACCAUCACCCACAGGACCGUCUAUACACUGACCUGAGCGGUAGUAGUGUGGUUCACCUUGAGAUUGUAUUUUCUACAUUUUUACAAAGCAAGUAAAAAUAAAAGAAUAAACAUAAACAGAACAUCUGGCACCAGAGAAAGAAAUUCAGACAAUUCACAAAGUUGCGAAGGAGGGGAGACAGACACCUACACGAAUUUGUUACAAUUGUUAUAAACUUUCUUAAUAUCUCACUGUCUGGACACUUGAGUCAUUAAUUCACUUUUUAUCACAGAAAAGUUUAAUAUUGGACUUUAAUUUCUUCAAGUCUUUUUGAUCAAGAAACCUCAAUAUUACAUCACAACCUCAGAUUUUUAUCAAUCCAACUUCCUGUAAGCCAACAAAGAAUAUUAGAGAAUUCAAUGGAAUUAAUAGUAAAAAUCGUCCAAAUGAGAUUUUUAACUUUCCCCCAAAUUUUAAGUUAAGCUGUUUCUUUAGUUUCACAUUAUUGGGCUGCCAAAGAGCCAACUCGUGAAGGCAUCAACACAUCUGGAGUAUCCUGCAAGUUAACGGGAAUACCAUGUCCACACUUCACUUCCACCUUCAGGGCUCCCAUGGUGACUCCCAGUCAUUGCUAGCCCAGGAUCAGAAGUUUAUAUUUCCUCAAAAAACCAACACUGAUCAUUCAAAAAAUAAAGAGAAAAGAUGCAAAUUUUGACUGA
This 1764-nucleotide long non-coding RNA is filed under the name Homo sapiens (human). RNAcentral's name for it is "HSALNT0116824". The record is from RNAcentral. Lineage: Eukaryota; Metazoa; Chordata; Mammalia; Primates; Hominidae.